This 345-nucleotide unclassified non-coding RNA is filed under the name soil metagenome. RNAcentral describes it as "partial contains 5.8S ribosomal RNA, internal transcribed spacer 2, and large subunit ribosomal RNA". The stretch from base 1 to 120 matches the Rfam family "5.8S ribosomal RNA", at positions 35 to 154 of the family's 154-position model. The record is from RNAcentral.
GAUGAAGAACGCAGCGAAAUGCGAUACGUAAUGUGAAUUGCAGAAUUCAGUGAAUCAUCGAGUCUUUGAACGCACAUUGCGCCCUCUGGAAUUCCGGAGGGCAUGCCUGUCCGAGCGUCAUUGCUGCCCUCAAGCACGGCUUGUGUGUUGGGCCCCGCCCCCCGAUCCCGGGGGGCGGGCCCGAAAGGCAGCGGCGGCACCGCGUCCGGUCCUCGAGCGUAUGGGGCUUUGUCACCCGCUCUGUAGGCCCGGCCGGCGCUUGCCGAUCAACCAAACUUUUUUCCAGGUUGACCUCGGAUCAGGUAGGGAUACCCGCUGAACUUAAGCAUAUCAAUAAGCGGAGGA